Molecule: ribosomal RNA, 433 nt
Filed under: uncultured bacterium
Lineage: Bacteria
Description: partial 16S ribosomal RNA
Rfam family: Bacterial small subunit ribosomal RNA
Source: RNAcentral
AACGAACGCUGGCGGCAUGCCCAACACAUGCAAGUCGAACGAGACCUUCGGGUCUAGUGGCGCACGGGUGCGUAACGCGUGGGAAUCUGCCCUUGGGUUCGGAAUAACAGUUGGAAACGACUGCUAAUACCGGAUGAUGACGUAAGUCCAAAGAUUUAUCGCCCAAGGAUGAGCCCGCGUAGGAUUAGCUAGUUGGUGAGGUAAAGGCUCACCAAGGCGACGAUCCUUAGCUGGUCUGAGAGGAUGAUCAGCCACACUGGGACUGAGACACGGCCCAGACUCCUACGGGAGGCAGCAGUGGGGAAUAUUGGACAAUGGGCGAAAGCCUGAUCCAGCAAUGCCGCGUGAGUGAUGAAGGCCUUAGGGUUGUAAAGCUCUUUUACCCGGGAUGAUAAUGACAGUACCGGGAGAAUAAGCUCCGGCUAACUCCGUG